RNAcentral lists this ribosomal RNA (492 nucleotides) under uncultured bacterium. RNAcentral's name for it is "partial 16S ribosomal RNA". It matches the Rfam family "Bacterial small subunit ribosomal RNA", at positions 29 to 507 of the family's 1533-position model. The record is from RNAcentral.
AGUGAACGCUGGCGGUAGGCCUAACACAUGCAAGUCGAACGGCAGCACAGUAAGAGCUUGCUCUUACGGGUGGCGAGUGGCGGACGGGUGAGGAAUACAUCGGAAUCUACUUUUUCGUGGGGGAUAACGUAGGGAAACUUACGCUAAUACCGCAUACGACCUACGGGGGAAAGCAGGGGAUCUUCGGACCUUGCGCGAUUGAAUGAGCCGAUGUCGGAUUAGCUAGUUGGCGGGGUAAAGGCCAACCAAGGCGACGAUCCGUAGCUGGUCUGAGAGGAUGGUCAGCCACACUGGAACUGAGACACGGUCCAGACUCCUACGGGAGGCAGCAGUGGGGAAUAUUGGACAAUGGGCGCAAGCCUGAUCCAGCCAUACCGCGUGGGUGACGAAGGCCUUCGGGUUGUAAAGCCCUUUUGUUGGGAAAGAAAAGCAGCAGGUUAAUACCCCGCUGUUCUGACGGUACCCAAAGAAUAAGCACCGGCUAACUUCGUG